GAUGAACGCUGGCGGCGUGCCUAAUACAUGCAAGUCGAGCGAACAGAUGAGGAGCUUGCUCCUCUGACGUUAGCGGCGGACGGGUGAGUAACACGUGGAUAACCCACCUAUAAGACUGGGAUAACUUCGGGAAACCGGAGCUAAUACCGGAUAAUAUAUUGAACCGCAUGGUUCAAUAGUGAAAGACGGUUUUGCUGUCACUUAUAGACGGAUCCGCGCCGCAUUAGAUAGAUGGUAGGGUAACGGGUUACCAAGGCAACGAUGCGUAGCCGACCUGAGAGGGUGAUCGGCCACACUGGAACUGAGCCACGGUCCAGACGCCUACGGGAGGCAGCAGUAGGCAAUCUUCCGCAAUGGGCGAAAGCCUGACGGAGCAACGCCGCGUGAGUGAUGAAGGUCUUCGGAUCGUAAAACUCUGUUAUUGGGGAAGAACAAAUGUGUAAGUAGCUAUGCACGUCUUGACGGUACCUAAUCAGAAAGCCACGGCUAACUACGUG
RNAcentral lists this ribosomal RNA (497 nucleotides) under uncultured bacterium. RNAcentral describes it as "partial 16S ribosomal RNA". It matches the Rfam family "Bacterial small subunit ribosomal RNA", at positions 28 to 507 of the family's 1533-position model. The record is from RNAcentral.